GAUGAACGCUGGCGGCGUGCUUAACACAUGCAAGUCGAACGGAAAGGCCCAAGCUUCCUUGGGUACUCGAGUGGCGAACGGGUGCGUAACACGUGUGCGAUCUGCCCUGCACUUCGGGAUAAGCCUGGGAAACUGAGUCUAAUACCGUAUAGGACGCGAGUUUCGAUGCCAUUGUGGAAAGUUUUUUCGCUGUGGGAUGAGCUCGCGGCGUAUCAGCUUGUCGGUGGUGUCAUGGCCUACCACGGCGUCGACGAGUAGCCGGCCUGAGAGUGUGUACGCACACUUCAGAAUCGUGAGAGAGGCAGCAGUGCGGAGUGUGGCAGAAGGGGGGAAUGUCGGACACUGCGCUACCGCGUGAGGCAGGAAGGCCGUGUGGUGGUUGAGGGCUUUCGUGUUGUAAGCACAUCUGCCGAGUGACAAAGCGUUUUUGUGACGGUACCUGGAGAAGAAGCACCGGCUAACUACGUG
This 468-nucleotide ribosomal RNA is filed under the name uncultured bacterium. RNAcentral's name for it is "partial 16S ribosomal RNA". It matches the Rfam family "Bacterial small subunit ribosomal RNA", at positions 28 to 507 of the family's 1533-position model. The record is from RNAcentral.